CUCGCUCAGCCAUGUUGUGCCUGACUUGGGGUAGGUAGCGAUGAGCAGGUCAUCAGGCCGGGCUUGGAAGGCCUCCACCUGUGGCCAGCCUGCCACAAAGCAUUUGUAGAGUGGGAUGUCGUAAAGGCAGCCCAGGUCCUGCCUGAUCACCUCAUCAUUCCCCAUACUGGCAGCGGGUGCUCGCACACUGUCCGUGCCUGUGCCUGUGCCUGUGCCUGUGCCUGUGCCUGUGCCUGUGCCUGUGCCUGUGCCCGAGGAAAGGCAAAGUUCGUCCCACAUCACGUGUUGCCCUGCAGGGCGGUUACAGCUUCCUCGCCCGGCCCCACUUGGCUGCUUUCCACUGAGCUACGGGUGCGUCGGUCCCUUUGGGAUGAGAUGUGCUCAAGUAGGACAAGAUGUUCCACCGGCCCCUACAGCAGCCCCAUGGCAGAGCCUUGCUGUUGGGACAGUUUCUCUUGAGUGCUAGAGGAAUAGUGAAACGCUGCUCGGCAGGAGCAGGGAAUACCGGAGCCCAGCAAACCCCAAGGAGGAAUCGCGUUUUGGCGCGGGGGGGGGGGCACAUCAUCCCCCGCUCCCUUCGCUGGUCCGUCCUGCCGGAACCCGAACCCGCACUGCGCCGCGUAACGGCGGCCGAGAGCGAACCGCCCCCCUCGCGCCGCCCUGCAGCGAUAGGCGACCGUGUGCGCUGCGCCGCGCCCGCGAGGAGGCGCUGUGGUAGCGGAUGCCGGGGCCUGUGACGGUUCCCGCCCUCGUGAAAUCAGUGAUGUAAUACGUGAGUUACGGACAGGAGAGCGUGUGUUGACCUCCUCUUAAUGUGUUCUUUCUUCGCUAAGCAACGGACUGAGGGUCUGUCUGUUUUCUUUUCAAGAAGUGAAAAUGCAUACCUCCCAUCUAGUAGCCCGUUGAACUUUUUGCUUGUCUUAUGGGCUCUUAGAGGUGUCAAAGAUAUUUGUCUUCCUGAACGUGUUGCUGAGGUCUGGCUCCGUUUGGGCUUCUGGAAGGUAAAUCUCCAGACUGUGUCCCAGAAGGCAAUAAAAACACCUCUUGUGAGAUAUAAUUACAAACUUAGUGGAAUUAAAGCAGUGUUCCAUUUGCAUCAAUAUUAGGAUUUUCCUUUUUGAGCACAGAAAGAGAAUAUAUCUUUUCCAUUAAACUCAGUGAGAAAACUCCUCAGCAGCAAAAAGAAAGAAGACUUCUACCUGGUAUUUUCAUCAAAGGGGAAUGAUCAAUCAGCAUGCAGAAAUGUGUACUGGAGUUUCAAGUGUUCAGUGAAUAUAGUAAUUUGCCUUGCAGAUCGUUGUAGGAAUGACUUGGGAAAAUUUAGUCAACUGUUUAUAGGUACAAUGGAAUAAAAGAAAAGAAGCUUUCCUUCCUAAUUUUCCAUCCCUUUAAUUUCUGACCAGAGUUCUCAAAAACAAGCAGUUUCAGAAUCGAGAAGUUAAAUUCAACAAUACUUCUAUUGUAUUGCCCUUAUGUGAUUAAUAAACUCAGUACAUUCCAGUGUGUUUUCUAACAUGGGUCUGUAGCUGUUGAAACCAUAAAGUAUAUGUAGAAAAUAAAUAUAAUGUGCAUUUUUAAAAUUGUGGUAAGUAUAUAGGGUGUAUUUUGGACAUCGGUGUGCUUUGAAUUCCAGAUAAUUUGAGAAUUUUAUCCGUGUGAUGGUGCUUCCAUUAAGGAUAAUUUGUUUUCACACUUCUCUUUUCAGGUAUCUGAAAUAAUACGCAUACCUUAUCUUAAAUUGGAAAGUUGCAGGGGUACUAUCAAGUAUCUAUGAAAUAACUGCCUGGGCACUCACAUGCAUGUAUCAAAAUGUCUGUAUUACCUCCUCUAAAGGAAAUGCAAAGUGUGCUGUUUUAUGCCACUAAAUUAUGAAGAUGUAUUAAUAGUUGUAUUGAAGUUUUUUGAAUUAAUGAGGUUCGAGCUGACUGAGGCAGAACAAAUCACACAAGCUUUACAGCUGAAAAGUCAACCGCAUCUCACGUAGCAAGUAAUUUAAGGAAUAGCAUCUCACUGAUUCCAGACAUUCUGUAUGUUCAGGUCAGUUGGUAUCAUAUGACUGUAAUAAAAUAUUUCUUCUAACCGUUAGAAUCAAAAUAUUGCAAUUAAG
Molecule: long non-coding RNA, 2107 nt
Filed under: Gallus gallus (chicken)
Lineage: Eukaryota; Metazoa; Chordata; Aves; Galliformes; Phasianidae
Source: RNAcentral